UAAUACGUAGGGGGCAAGCGUUGUCCGGAUUUAUUGGGCGUAAAGAGCGUGUAGGCGGCCAGGUAGGUCAGCUGUGAAAACUCGAGGCUCAACCUCGAGAUGUCGGCUGAAACCAUCUGGCUAGAGUCCGGAAGAGGAGAAUGGAAUUCCCGGUGUAGCGGUGAAAUGCGCAGAUAUCGGGAAGAACACCCGUGGCGAAGGCGGUUCUCUGGGACGGUACUGACGCUGAGACGCGAAAGCGUGGGGAGCGAACAGGAUUAGAUACCCUGGUAGUCCACGCCGUAAACGAUGAAUGCCAGCCGUUAGUGGGUUUACUCACUAGUGGCGCAGCUAACGCUUUAAGCAUUCCGCCUGGGGAGUACGGUCGCAAGAUUA
Molecule: ribosomal RNA, 375 nt
Filed under: uncultured bacterium
Lineage: Bacteria
Description: bacterial SSU rRNA
Rfam family: Bacterial small subunit ribosomal RNA
Source: RNAcentral